Molecule: ribosomal RNA, 373 nt
Filed under: uncultured organism
Description: partial 16S ribosomal RNA
Rfam family: Bacterial small subunit ribosomal RNA
Source: RNAcentral
GUAGGUGGCAAGCGUUGUCCGGAAUUAUUGGGCGUAAAGCGCGCGCAGGCGGUUCUUUAAGUCUGAUGUGAAAGCCCACGGGCUCAACCGUGGAGGGUCAUUGGAAACUGGAGAACUUGAGUACAGAAGAGGAAAGCGGAAUUCCACGUGUAGCGGUGAAAUGCGUAGAGAUGUGGAGGAACACCAGUGGCGAAGGCGGCUUUCUGGUCUGUAACUGUCGCUGAGGCGCGAAAGUGUGGGGAGCAAACAGGAUUAGAUACCCUGGUAGUCCACGCCGUAAACGGUGAGUGCUAAGUGUUAGGGGGUUUCCGCCCCUUAGUGCUGCAGCUAACGCAUUAAGCACUCCGCCUGGGGAGUACGGCCGCAAAGGCUG